RNAcentral lists this long non-coding RNA (1194 nucleotides) under Oryctolagus cuniculus (rabbit). RNAcentral's name for it is "lncRNA (ENSOCUG00000029813.1)". The record is from RNAcentral. Lineage: Eukaryota; Metazoa; Chordata; Mammalia; Lagomorpha; Leporidae.
AUGCACCUGGGAGUAGCAGGCAGGCGCGGCCCCCACGCGCCACUCAGCCACAGAACAGUCACCUGGAUCCCAGAUGCAUCUGAAACCCUGCCCACCCGUGCCCACGGUCGCUGGGGCCCACAUGCAGUGGAGGGGUUGUGCCCUCCCCGGGGAGACGAGCCUGGGGCAUGGGGGUCCCCAGGCCCCGACAUCCUCUUCCUGCACGAGUCCUGCCUGCCGCCAAGGCACCACCCACUCCCAGAAACCCGGGUGUCACCCCGGCCCCUCGUAUGGCUCAGCCACAGCCCUCCUGGUCACGCGGGCUGUAUGGCCAAAGGGGACAACAUGCGGCUGUGCUGCAGGAGUGCAGGGCACGACCCUGGCGCCACCACGGGCAACGCAGGGGGGAGGAGGAACCAAGGCACGGGGACCCCACCUCCGAGAGGAGGCAGGCGUCCUGCAAGGCCUCGGCACGCGCCAGCCCCUACCCCAGCCUCAGCGUCUCAAAGACAUUUCUGUUCCAGUCCUAGACUUGAUCCUGAUACUAGAAAAAAAAAAAAAAAAGAUACCUGUGCUUUGAAGUCGGCACCGUGGCCACGCCCUCAGCGGCUCUUCCCCAACAAGGCCCUGUGUCGUCCGCCUGGUCCCUGCGCUCACCACACCCUCCAGGGAGGCUGCCUCCCUCCAGGGCACUGGCCACUGCCGCCCUCCUCCUGCUGGUUGGGGGGCCUGGUGGGGCCCAGCAGCUGGGCGCCAAGGAGCCAGCCCUGUGUCCUGGGGACCCGCACACUGGGCUCCACUGGGUGGCCACAGAGAGGAGCUGCCCGGCCUGGGGCGCCUGAGGGAGGACUCAGGGCGCCCCAGCAUCUGCUCCAGGGCCUUUGCCAACAGAGGAGGACGCCCUGCUGGUGGGUGGGCUUCUGGAAGACCCUGGAACUGCACACCCUGGAGAGGUGCAGGCGGUGGGGCGGGGGCUGGCAGUGGGGGGCAGGGGUACCCCCAGUCUGCUCUCGUGGAGCCACAGGGGCCCCACUUCUUGCUGUCUCCCCAUGUCUCUCCCAGCUGUGGGUUCCCAGAUGUAGACCUCUGGUUGGGGGAUGGGAUGCUAGGGUCAGGGCCCCCAGACCCUGGGCCCUGCCUGGCUGUGGCUGCGGCCUUUAUCUGGGGGUCCGAGGGCUGCCCCACCCGUACCACGCCAGUGCCGUCACUUGCUAG